UACGUAGGGGGCGAGCGUUGUCCGGAUUCAUUGGGCGUAAAGAGCUCGUAGGCGGCUUGGCAAGUCGGAUGUGAAAACUCCAGGCUCAACCUGGAGCCGCCAUUCGAUACUGCUAUGGCUAGAGUCCGGUAGGGGAGUGUGGAAUUCCCGGUGUAGCGGUGAAAUGCGCAGAUAUCGGGAAGAACACCCGUGGCUAAGGCGGCUCUCUAGUACGGUACUGACGCUGAGACGCGAAAGCGUGGGGAGCGAACAGG
This 254-nucleotide ribosomal RNA is filed under the name uncultured bacterium. Its description in RNAcentral is "partial 16S ribosomal RNA". It matches the Rfam family "Bacterial small subunit ribosomal RNA", at positions 524 to 776 of the family's 1533-position model. The record is from RNAcentral.